RNAcentral lists this ribosomal RNA (294 nucleotides) under Limosilactobacillus fermentum. RNAcentral's name for it is "Lactobacillus fermentum partial 16S ribosomal RNA". It matches the Rfam family "Bacterial small subunit ribosomal RNA", at positions 350 to 636 of the family's 1533-position model. Lineage: Bacteria; Bacillati; Bacillota; Bacilli; Lactobacillales; Lactobacillaceae. The record is from RNAcentral.
AGCAGUAGGGAAUCUUCCACAAUGGGCGCAAGCCUGAUGGAGCAACACCGCGUGAGUGAAGAAGGGUUUCGGCUCGUAAAGCUCUGUUGUUAAAGAAGAACACGUAUGAGAGUAACUGUUCAUACGUUGACGGUAUUUAACCAGAAAGUCACGGCUAACUACGUGCCAGCAGCCGCGGUAAUACGUAGGUGGCAAGCGUUAUCCGGAUUUAUUGGGCGUAAAGAGAGUGCAGGCGGUUUUCUAAGUCUGAUGUGAAAGCCUUCGGCUUAACCGGAGAAGUGCAUCGGAAACUGG